CCUACGGGGGGCAGCAGUGGGGAAUAUUGGACAAUGGGGGGAACCCUGAUCCAGCCAUGUCGCGUGUGUGAAGAAGGCCCUCGGGUUGUAAAGCACUUUCAGUGAGGAAGAACGCCUGGUGGUUAAUACCCAUCAGGAAAGACAUCACUCACAGAAGAAGCACCGGCUAACUCCGUGCCAGCAGCCGCGGUAAUACGGAGGGUGCGAGCGUUAAUCGGAAUUACUGGGCGUAAAGCGCGCGUAGGUGGCUUGAUAAGCCGGUUGUGAAAGCCCCGGGCUCAACCUGGGAACGGCAUCCGGAACUGUCAAGCUAGAGUGCAGGAGAGGAAGGUAGAAUUCCCGGUGUAGCGGUGAAAUGCGUAGAGAUCGGGAGGAAUACCAGUGGCGAAGGCGGCCUUCUGGACUGACACUGACACUGAGGUGCGAAAGCGUGGGUAGCAAACAGGAUUAGAUACCCCUGUAGUC
This 465-nucleotide ribosomal RNA is filed under the name Vreelandella stevensii. RNAcentral describes it as "partial 16S ribosomal RNA". It matches the Rfam family "Bacterial small subunit ribosomal RNA", at positions 338 to 795 of the family's 1533-position model. The record is from RNAcentral. Lineage: Bacteria; Pseudomonadati; Pseudomonadota; Gammaproteobacteria; Oceanospirillales; Halomonadaceae.